This 507-nucleotide long non-coding RNA is filed under the name Mytilus galloprovincialis (Mediterranean mussel). Lineage: Eukaryota; Metazoa; Mollusca; Bivalvia; Mytilida; Mytilidae. The record is from RNAcentral.
CGUAAAAAUAAAAUAAUAACAUUAAUAAUAAUUACUAUUUAACGGUAGAGCUCUGAAAUUAACGGGGACUACUAUGUUAUUAGUAUGAUAGUCCCAGCAAUUUAACAAAUUGAUCAUCAAAAGGACGGUUGUGCAAUUGUGGUCCAGGGACUUGCCGGUACGUCUAAAACCCACCCAGGCCGCUUUGGUGCACUAAGCCCUAAGACAUUUAUGGAACACUACAGCGAACUUUCUAGACAAAUUUGAUAUUGUCAGAUAAAAAUAGCCAACGCUUAUAUUGAAGAAUAAACAAGUCAUGAAAAGAAAUAUUACUAUACAUUGUACGGACAUUUUGACUAAUUCACUAGCUUUGAUACAGCGGAAGCAAAAACAUCGAGCGUAGCAAAGAUAAAAAAAAUAAUAAUGCUAAAAUUAUGUAUUUUUAAAUCAAAGGACAAAGCGUACGCAAUGUCACCCGGAAUCCGAAUCUGACUGACUAGCAAAUUACUACAAAAUUAAACCAAAAAA